GACGAACGCUGGCGGCGUGCCUAAUACAUGCAAGUCGAGCGGAUGAUGAAGAAGCUUGCUUCUUCUGAUUUAGCGGCGGACGGGUGAGUAACACGUGGGCAACCUGCCCUGUAGAUUGGGAUAACUCCGGGGAACCGGGGCUAAUACCGAAUAAUCCAUUACCUCACAUGAGGAAAUGUUAAAAGACGGCAUCUCGCUGUCACUACAGGAUGGGCCCGCGGCGCAUUAGCUAGUUGGUGAGGUAACGGCUCACCAAGGCGACGAUGCGUAGCCGACCUGAGAGGGUGAUCGGCCACACUGGGACUGAGACACGGCCCAG
This 319-nucleotide ribosomal RNA is filed under the name uncultured bacterium. RNAcentral's name for it is "bacterial SSU rRNA". It matches the Rfam family "Bacterial small subunit ribosomal RNA", at positions 28 to 334 of the family's 1533-position model. The record is from RNAcentral.